RNAcentral lists this small RNA (1209 nucleotides) under Pongo abelii (Sumatran orangutan). RNAcentral's name for it is "retained intron". Lineage: Eukaryota; Metazoa; Chordata; Mammalia; Primates; Hominidae. The record is from RNAcentral.
GGGUUGUCAGGCAGCGGGCGAGGCGGCGGGCAGCUAGCAGCUGGCGGACGCGACCCGGAGGCGGUGGGGGUGCGGCUGGGCCAUGCCCGGUGGCGCGGCCUGAGCCCCUCCACCUGCUGCAAGCAUGAAGGACAGCGGGGACUCCAAGGACCAGCAACUCAUGGUGGCGCUUCGGGUCCGGCCCAUCAGCGUGGCAGAGCUGGAGGAAGGAGCUACCCUCAUCGCCCAUAAAGUGGAUGAGCAGGUAUGCAGGGGUCUGCAGCAGGAGCUGCAGGGCAGAGGUCUGCUCAGAUGGCUCAGCUCACCUGGUGAGGGCAGAAAGGGCCCCUGUGGCUUGCAGCACCAUCCUUCCUCUACUCACUGAACUCUUGGCUGUGCUGUUGAUGACACCACCAAGGAAGCCGGGGGCUCUUCUUCCAGGAAGCCUUCCUAGAUUGAUCCAAGCACAACUGGGAGCUUCCCUAGCCUGGAUGGGCCCUGAUCCUUUACCUUUCAUAUGCUCAUUGCUUGACUUUCCCACCCUAAUAUGCCUGCUACCCACAGAGCACAUAUAUAUAUGGUCGAGAGCUAAAGCUCGCCUCUAGGGUGUUACGUGUGGCAAAAUCCUUGGCUCUCUGUUUGCAAUCUUGGUCCUCAUGUCACCAGGAUGAGGAAGGCAGGGCACACGAGGCAAUAAGUGUUUAUCAAGUACCAGCAGCAUGCUGGGUACUGUGCUAGAAACUGGGAAACUGUGGUGAACAGAAAAGGCCCCGUCCUUUCUCCAUUACCUUAAGUCUAGUGUGGAGAGAUGAGGCAUUCUUCAAAGAAUUGCAUCACAAACAAACAUGAGUUUGCAGCUAACAAGGGCUGCAAAGAAAUGCUUAGUGGCAUGAGAGUAGGUAAGAAGGGGAUACGACCUAAACCUGGAGGUCAGGGAGGGCUUCCUUAAGAAACUGUGCUUGACACUUUGGGAGGCCAAGGAGGCCGGAUCACGAGGUCAAGAGAUCAAGACCAUCCUGGCCAACAUGGUGAAACCCAGUCUCUACUACAAAUACAAAAAAUUAGCUGGGUGUGGUGGCACGUACCUGUAGUCCCAGCUUCUCAGGAAGCUGAGGCAGGAUAAUCGCUUAAACCCAGGAGGUGGAGGUUGCAGUGAGCCGAGAUCACGCCAUUGCACUCCAGCCUGGGUGACAGAGCGGGACUGUGUCUCAAAAAAAAAAAAAAAAAAGA